Molecule: unclassified non-coding RNA, 664 nt
Filed under: Hevea brasiliensis (rubber tree)
Lineage: Eukaryota; Viridiplantae; Streptophyta; Magnoliopsida; Malpighiales; Euphorbiaceae
Source: RNAcentral
AACAUCUGCAACUGCAAAAACAUGCGGACUUAGCUCCCCAAAUGCUGCUCCUUUGUACUGUUCCAUCAUGUGAGUGUCGUACAGAUGAGGCAAUCUUUGGAAAGGGUUUACUGCAAUCAAUAUGUUCCCAGUGUACGUAUAAAUUUCAUUGAGCUCAUAUCGGGUGGCCAAGUUCUGCAGAACUCCAGGUUCAUGCAAAUAGGAAAGUUUGGUCAUAUCAUCUACACCUCCAGGAGGAGCCUCAGUAUCUUUAGGAAACACUUUAGCGAUUUUAGCAACAACUUCUUUUCCAUCGGAGGUUUUAACAUGAACAUCUUGACCAUGUAUUUUGAUUACUUCUCCAUCUUUCCAUGCCAAUUUAGGGUCUUCCACCCAAACAUGAGAACCAACAAUAAUGUUAACUGAUGCCAUUGACGAGUUUUUUACUAUUGAUCUCCUGCUCUCCAACUCAUCAAGGCAAAGAGAAACAAAUUUUGAGUCGGCGAGUCAGAUCGGACUCCACAAGCUUCAAAUAUUUCAGUCGAAGUUAACCACAACGACGAUGAUGAUGAAGCAAAGCUUGCCUCCGAUGAUUCAACUUCUGGCAAAGCGAAAACCGUUUAUGUUUGUUUCUCUCUAUAUAUAUCUGCGUAUAUAAAUAUGUAUAUGCCUCCGUAUAUCUGUA